CUACGGGAGGCUCCAGUGAGGAAUAUUGCACAAUGGGGGGAACCCUGAUGCAGCAACGCCGCGUGGAGGAUGACGCAUUUCGGUGUGUAAACUCCUUUUAUAUGUCAAGAAAAUGACGGUAGCAUAUGAAUAAGCACCGGCUAACUCCGUGCCAGCAGCCGCGGUAAUACGGAGGGGUGCAAGCGUUACUCGGAAUCACUGGGCGUAAAGGACGCGUAGGCGGGUUGGAAAGUCAGGUGUGAAAUCCUACAGCUUAACUGUAGAACUGCACUUGAAACUUCUAAUCUAGAGUAUGGGAGGGGGAGAUGGAAUUAGUGGUGUAGGGAUAAAAUCCGUAGAUAUCACUAGGAAUACCUAAAGCGAAGGCGAUCUCCUGGAACAUUACUGACGCUAAGGCGUGAAAGCGUGGGGAGCAAACAGGAUUAGAUACCCUAGUAGUC
RNAcentral lists this ribosomal RNA (440 nucleotides) under uncultured bacterium. Its description in RNAcentral is "partial 16S ribosomal RNA". It matches the Rfam family "Bacterial small subunit ribosomal RNA", at positions 339 to 795 of the family's 1533-position model. The record is from RNAcentral.